CUCUCGCUACCGCUCGGACCUAUAUAAAGUCCAACCCAACCUGUAAUUAGCUAAAACCCACUAAUUACUAAUACCCAUGUAACGACCCAGCCCACUAGCAAUAAUAACUCAUUGGGCCCAACCACCGGCCCAAAAUGCUUAAGCCCAGUUAUUAUUACUAGUGUCUAAGUCUCUUAUAUACCCAAUCACAUCCCCAUUCCUAUCCGAUGUGGGAUUAUUGGGGUGUGACAGACUCCCCCCGUUAAGGCUUUGACAUCCUGGUCAGUCCAAUCACACACACAGCCCAAGAUCACCAGGCGAUGUGAGACUCGUCUCACUAGCCUUGUCAUCCAGACCCUGACAUAGUCGGUCACCUUAUCAUACAGACUCCGGCAUAGCCUAUCACCUUGUCUUUCAGACCCUGACUCAGCCGAGACUCGCCACACAUUUUCGGCUGGCGAUUGACUCUGAUACCAAAUGUAACGAGCCAGCCCACUAGCAAUAAUAACUCGUUUGGCCCUACCACCGGCCCAAAAUGCUUAACUCCAGUUAUUAUUACUAGUGUCUAAGUCUCUUAUAUACCCAAUCACAUCUCCAUUUCUAUUCG
Molecule: long non-coding RNA, 586 nt
Filed under: Ananas comosus (pineapple)
Lineage: Eukaryota; Viridiplantae; Streptophyta; Magnoliopsida; Poales; Bromeliaceae
Description: long non-coding RNA (ACOM_LNC005574)
Source: RNAcentral